This 497-nucleotide ribosomal RNA is filed under the name uncultured bacterium. RNAcentral describes it as "partial 16S ribosomal RNA". It matches the Rfam family "Bacterial small subunit ribosomal RNA", at positions 28 to 507 of the family's 1533-position model. The record is from RNAcentral.
GACGAACGCUGGCGGCGUGCCUAAUACAUGCAAGUUGAGCGCUGAAGGUUGGUACUUGUACCAACUGGAUGAGCAGCGAACGGGUGAGUAACGCGUGGGGAAUCUGCCUUUGAGCGGGGGACAACAUUUGGAAACGAAUGCUAAUACCGCAUAAAAACUUUAAACACAAGUUUUAAGUUUGAAAGAUGCAAUUGCAUCACUCAAAGAUGAUCCCGCGUUGUAUUAGCUAGUUGGUGAGGUAAAGGAUCACCAAGGCGAGGAUACAUAGCCGACCUGAGAGGGUGAUCGGCCACAUUGGGACUGAGACACGGCACAAACGCCUACGGGAGGCAGCAGGAGGGAAUCGUCGGCAAGGGACGAAAGUCUGAGCGAGCAACGCCGCGGGAGUGAAGAAGGUUUUCGGAUCGUAAAACUCGGUUGGUAGAGAAGAACGUGGGUGAGAGUGGAAAGCUCAGCAAGUGACGGUAACUACCCAGAAAGGGACGGCUAACUACGUG